This 420-nucleotide ribosomal RNA is filed under the name Tachygerris opacus. RNAcentral describes it as "partial 16S large subunit ribosomal RNA". The record is from RNAcentral. Lineage: Eukaryota; Metazoa; Arthropoda; Insecta; Hemiptera; Gerridae.
UUUUUUGAUUUUAAUAUAAGAUCGAGCCUGCCCAUUGAUUAAAAAUAUUAAAAGGCUGCGGUAUUUUAACUGUACGAAGGUAGCAUAAUCAUUUGUCUUUUAAUUGGAGGCUGGAAUGAAUGGUUUGAUGAAAUAUAUACUUUCUUUAAUUAAUUGAUUUGAAUUUAAUUUUUUAGUUAAAAAGCUAAAAUUUUUUUAUAGGACGAGAAGACCCUAUAGAAGUUAACUUUAUUUAUUAUUUUUAAUUUUUUGUUUAUAUAAUUAUUUAUUUGAAUGUAUAGUUUUGUUGGGGAGACAUUAAAAUUUAUAUAACUUUUAAUAUUUUUUACAUUAAUUUAUGUUUUUAUGAUCCAAAAUUUUUGAUUAAAAGAUUAACUUACCUUAGGGAUAACAGCGUAAUUUUUUCGGAGAGUUCAUAUU